CCACGCAGUAAACGAUGAUAACUGGGCGUAUGCGAUAUACAGUAUGCUCCUAAGCGAAAGCGUUAAGUUAUCCACCUGGGGAGUACGCCGGCAACGGUGAAACUCAAAGGAAUUGACGGGGGCCCGCACAAGCGGAGGAACAUGUGGUUUAAUUCGAUGAUACGCGAGGAACCUUACCCGGGAUUGAAAUUUAGAUGACGAGUGAUGAAAGUUGCUUUCCCUUCGGGGCAUCUAAGUAGGUGCUGCAUGGUUGU
RNAcentral lists this ribosomal RNA (254 nucleotides) under uncultured bacterium. RNAcentral's name for it is "partial 16S ribosomal RNA". It matches the Rfam family "Bacterial small subunit ribosomal RNA", at positions 795 to 1052 of the family's 1533-position model. The record is from RNAcentral.